AACGAACGCUGGCGGCAGGCCUAACACAUGCAAGUCGAGCGAGGACUCCGGUCUUGCUGGCGGACGGGUGAGUAACGCGUGGGAACGUGCCUUUUUAUUCGGAAUAGUCCUGGGAAAUUGGGAGUAAUACCGGAUGAGUCCCUUGGGUGAUAGAUUUAACGGCCUAGGAUCGGCCGGCGUUGGAUUAGGCGGUUGGUGGGGUAAUGGCCUAUCAAGCCGUGGAUCCCUAGCUGGUUUGAGAGACUGCACAGCCACACUGCGGCUAAGACACAGCCCAGAAUACUAGGGAAGGGGGGAGAGGGGGAUCUAAGAAGAUCGCGGAGGCCCUGAUCGAGCCAUGGCGGGUAAGCGAUGCUGGCCUUAGAGAAGUGAAGCUCGUUCAGCUGAGGAGGUAAUGACGGUACCAACAGAAGAAGCACCGGCUAACUCCGUG
RNAcentral lists this ribosomal RNA (433 nucleotides) under uncultured bacterium. RNAcentral's name for it is "partial 16S ribosomal RNA". It matches the Rfam family "Bacterial small subunit ribosomal RNA", at positions 29 to 507 of the family's 1533-position model. The record is from RNAcentral.